UGAUGUAGCACGCCGCGUGGAGGAUGACACAUUUCGGUGCGUAAACUCCUUUUAUUAGGGAAGAUAAUGACGGUACCUAAUGAAUAAGCACCGGCUAACUCCGUGCCAGCAGCCGCGGUAAUA
This 123-nucleotide ribosomal RNA is filed under the name uncultured bacterium. Its description in RNAcentral is "partial 16S ribosomal RNA". It matches the Rfam family "Bacterial small subunit ribosomal RNA", at positions 384 to 525 of the family's 1533-position model. The record is from RNAcentral.